This 215-nucleotide ribosomal RNA is filed under the name Wasmannia auropunctata (little fire ant). RNAcentral's name for it is "partial large subunit ribosomal RNA". Lineage: Eukaryota; Metazoa; Arthropoda; Insecta; Hymenoptera; Formicidae. The record is from RNAcentral.
GAAUUUUAUAAAAAUUUAAAUAAAAAUUAAGUAAGAAGUGAAUUUAGAUUUUUAUUUGGUUGGGAGGAUAAUUAAAUUUUGUAAACUUUAAUUUUAAAAAGACAUGGAUGAAUGGUUAGUUGGGAAAGAAUGGUUGAUAAAUUUAGAAAGAAUUAAUUACCUUAGGGAUAACAGCGUGAUAUUUUUAGAGAGAUCUUAUUAAUAAAAGUGAUUGC